RNAcentral lists this ribosomal RNA (504 nucleotides) under uncultured bacterium. RNAcentral describes it as "partial 16S ribosomal RNA". It matches the Rfam family "Bacterial small subunit ribosomal RNA", at positions 29 to 507 of the family's 1533-position model. The record is from RNAcentral.
ACGAACGCUGGCGGCGUGCCUCAUACAUGCAAGUAGAACGCACAGUUUAUACCGUAGCUUGCUACACCGUAAACUGUGAGUUGCGAACGGGUGAGUAACGCGUAGGUAACCUGCCUGGUAGCGGGGGAUAACUAUUGGAAACGAUAGCUAAUACCGCAUAAUAUUGAUUAUUGCAUGAUAAUUGAUUGAAAGAUGCUAUUGCAUCACUACCAGAUGGACCUGCGUUGUAUUAGCUAGUAGGUGAGGUAACGGCUCACCUAGGCGACGAUACAUAGCCGACCUGAGAGGGUGAUCGGCCACACUGGGACUGAGACACGGCCCAGACUCCUACGGGAGGCAGCAGUAGGGAAUCUUCGGCAAUGGACGAAAGUCUGACCGAGCAACGCCGCGUGAGUGAAGAAGGUUUUCGGAUCGUAAAGCUCUGUUGUAAGAGAAGAACGGGUGUGAGAGUGGAAAGUUCACACUGUGACGGUAUCUUACCAGAAAGGGACGGCUAACUACGUG